Long non-coding RNA from Canis lupus familiaris (dog), 1545 nucleotides. RefSeq lists it as uncharacterized. The transcript has 3 exons. Lineage: Eukaryota; Metazoa; Chordata; Mammalia; Carnivora; Canidae. The record is from RefSeq and is a predicted model, not a curated record.
CGGGUGGGGCGGGGCUGGCGGGAGGUGAGGCCUGGGAGGAGAGGCCGCCGCUUGGAGAAAGCCUGCAGCUCCUGCGGGGAAGCGGCUCCCUUCUCGGGUGGAGGGUUCGGGUGAUCGUGGAGGCCUCAGCGCGAAGAGAGGCAGCGAGCAGAGGUCGGACGGUACCGACUCGUUUCUUGGAGACUCGAUGGUCUCUAUCCAAAUAAAGCGUCCGCUUGAAGACAUCGUGUUGCAGUGAUUUAAACACAGAUUAUUGCCGGGUUUCUCCUGAAGCAGGGUGUGAGGGACGUGGUAGUUCCCAGCGCCCCGGGUAACUCGGCGGGCAGUGGAAGAGGGCUGCAGGCAGGGCCAGGAGCAGGGACCUGGAGCCGAGAAGAGGGGGAAAGAGGAGAGCGGAUAUUGCAGGUGCCAUACCAACGGGCCAACCCAAACCGGCAGAGCCUCCACCCAGUCAACUUAAGGAAGUUCAAAGGGAGACAUGCACAGUGUAAAAUGCCUCUGCCUCUCCUCCCUUUAAAUGUUGGAGCUAAGAUGUGCUUGGAUGACCUGCAAAACCAGUUGCAAAUCUCACCUAGAGUGUAUAGUUAGCAAUGAGAGCUCAGAACUCUGCCUACUAUCCUUGGCAAACUCCAUUUGGUCUUACUGAUUUUUCCAACAUACCCUUUUAAAAAAUCCUUUCAUCCUAAUAAGUGUACUCUUUAAUGCCCAUCCUUUUAUUUCCGCCGUCUCCCAUCUACCUCCCCCAUCGUAACUAUCAGUUUGUUGUUCUCGGUAGUCAAAAGUGGGUUUCUUGGUUGGUCUCUUCCCCCCCCCCCCCCCCAACAUAUCUUUAUUGAGCAUCUAGUAGGGGGCCUGCCGUAAGGCACAACUGACAAAGAAGACUCACAAAACAGUUCAGCCUCAAGUUGUGCAGAGGAUUGAAUUUAUCACCAGCAGACACAUAAAAUCUUUCCUCACUCUUCCAGCUCCUUGUCUGUUCUGUAUGUUGUUGGACACACUGUUUCUGCCACAGACCAUUUUACAAAUUAGUUUUGCCUGAGGUUCCAGCUGGCAUUUAGAUAGUAAAGUAUAAACCCAGAAGAGAGUUUUCCAGUGGCCAGUUCAGUUCAGGGUGUUUUAUUUUCUCCCAAUUUUCUGCAUCAGAGCAGAUUCAUACUAGACUUAAUGGAUGAACAAAUUGAUCAGGGUUAUUUUUUCUGAGACAUUAGAGUCAUGGUACUUUGACUCCCAAGUAAAUUUUUUCAGAGAGUGACUCACUUAAAAUAAUAUUUCAACACCCUCCCCUUUUAAAAUUUGUCUUUGGUUUUCUGCUAGACGCGGCACCAGAAAUUUGACAGAAAUUAGGGGUGCCUGGCUGGCUCAGUCUGAAGAGCACAUAACUCUUGAUCUCCAGAAAACAGAGACACACAAAAUUGAAGUAACUCACUCAAGAGUCUUCAGUUAGUAAGAGGCAGCACUGGAAUCCAAACAAAGCCAGAUUCUGACAUGAUUUUAUUUAUUCAUUCAUGAGAGACACAGAGAGAAAGGCAGAGACACAGGCAGAGG